Molecule: non-coding RNA, 76 nt
Organism: Parelaphostrongylus tenuis
Lineage: Eukaryota; Metazoa; Nematoda; Chromadorea; Rhabditida; Metastrongylidae
Source: the annotation of a GenBank genome assembly
UACCUCGUGGUGUAGUGGUAGCACACAUCCACGGAAUGGAUGAAACGCGAGGUUCGACUCCCGGUUGAGGUCCUAU